GACAGAGGGUGCAACCGUUGCUCGGAAUCACUGGGCGUAAAGGGCGUGUAGGCGGGAAGGAUAGUCAGAUGUGAAAGCCCUGGGCUCAACCCAGGAACUGCAUUUGAAACUCCCUUUCUUGAGUGUCGGAGAGGAAAGCGGAAUUCCUGGUGUAGAGGUGAAAUUCGUAGAUAUCAGGAGGAACACCGGUGGCGAAGGCGGCUUUCUGGACGACAACUGACGCUGAGACGCGAAAGCGUGGGGAGCAAACAGG
This 253-nucleotide ribosomal RNA is filed under the name uncultured bacterium. RNAcentral's name for it is "partial 16S ribosomal RNA". It matches the Rfam family "Bacterial small subunit ribosomal RNA", at positions 524 to 776 of the family's 1533-position model. The record is from RNAcentral.